This 334-nucleotide unclassified non-coding RNA is filed under the name soil metagenome. RNAcentral describes it as "partial contains 5.8S ribosomal RNA, internal transcribed spacer 2, and large subunit ribosomal RNA". The stretch from base 1 to 120 matches the Rfam family "5.8S ribosomal RNA", at positions 35 to 154 of the family's 154-position model. The record is from RNAcentral.
GAUGAAGAACGCAGCGAAAUGCGAUAAGUAAUGUGAAUUGCAGAAUUCAGUGAAUCAUCGAAUCUUUGAACGCACAUUGCGCCCGCUAGUAUUCUGGCGGGCAUGCCUGUUCGAGCGUCAUUUCAACUAUCAAGCCCCAGGCUUGUAUUGGAGCCCUGCGGCUGCCGCAGCCUCCCAAAAUCAGUGGCGGGCUCGCUAUCACACCGAGUGCAGUAGUUUACUCUCGCUUAGGUUCGUAUAGCGGGUGCUAGCCGUGAAACCCCCCACUUCUCAAGGUUGACCUCGGAUCAGGUAGGAAUACCCGCUGAACUUAAGCAUAUCAAUAAGCGGAGGA